CAGUAGCCACGGUAAUACAGAGGGUGCGAGCGUUAAUCGGAUUUACUGGGCGUAAAGCGUGCGUAGGCGGCUUCUUAAGUCGGAUGUGAAAUCCCUGAGCUUAACUUAGGAAUUGCAUUCGAUACUGGGAAGCUAGAGUAUGGGAGAGGAUGGUAGAAUUCCAGGUGUAGCGGUGAAAUGCGUAGAGAUCUGGAGGAAUACCGAUGGCGAAGGCAGCCAUCUGGCCUAAUACUGACGCUGAGGUACGAAAGCAUGGGGAGCAAACAGGAUUAGAGACCCCUGUAGUCCCUGUCUCUUAUAU
This 301-nucleotide ribosomal RNA is filed under the name uncultured bacterium. Its description in RNAcentral is "partial 16S ribosomal RNA". It matches the Rfam family "Bacterial small subunit ribosomal RNA", at positions 509 to 809 of the family's 1533-position model. The record is from RNAcentral.